Molecule: ribosomal RNA, 1307 nt
Filed under: metagenome
Description: bacterial LSU rRNA
Rfam family: Bacterial large subunit ribosomal RNA
Source: RNAcentral
CUUCAGUUUCACAUUGACCGUACCGCAAACCGACACAGGUGGGCGAGAUGAGUAUUCUAAGGCGCUUGAGAGAACUCGGGAGAAGGAACUCGGCAAAUUGGUACCGUAACUUCGGGAUAAGGUACGCCCCUGUAGCUUGACUGGCCUGCGCCAGGAGGGUGAAGGGGUUGCAAUAAACUGGUGGCUGCGACUGUUUAAUAAAAACACAGCACUCUGCAAACACGAAAGUGGACGUAUAGGGUGUGACGCCUGCCCGGUGCCGGAAGAUUAAAUGAUGGGGUGCAAGCUCUUGAUUGAAGUCCCGGUAAACGGCGGCCGUAACAAUAACGGUCCUAAGGUAGCGAAAUUCCUUGUCGGGUAAGUUCCGACCUGCACGAAUGGCGUAACGAUGGCCACACUGUCUCCUCCCGAGACUCAGCGAAGUUGAAGUGUUUGUGAUGAUGCAAUCUCCCCGCGGCUAGACGGAGAGACCCCAUGAACCUUUACUGCAGCUUUGCAUUGGACUUUGAACCGGUCUGUGUAGGAUAGGUGGGAGGCUAUGAAGCUGGAACGCUAGUUUCAGUGGAGCCGUCCUUGAAAUACCACCCUGAUCUGUUUGAGGUUCUAACCUUUGACCCUGAAGCGGGUUCGGGGACAGUGCAUGGCAGGCAGUUUGACUGGGGCGGUCUCCUCCCAAAGUGUAACGGAGGAGUACGAAGGUACGCUAGGUACGGUCGGAAAUCGUGCUGAUAGUGCAAUGGCAUAAGCGUGCUUGACUGCGAGACUGACAAGUCGAGCAGGUGUGAAAGCAGGUCAUAGUGAUCCGGUGGUUCUGUAUGGAAGGGCCAUCGCUCAACGGAUAAAAGGUACUCUGGGGAUAACAGGCUGAUACCGCCCAAGAGUUCAUAUCGACGGCGGUGUUUGGCACCUCGAUGUCGGCUCAUCUCAUCCUGGGGCUGUAGCCGGUCCCAAGGGUAUGGCUGUUCGCCAUUUAAAGAGGUACGUGAGCUGGUUUAAAACGUCGUGAUACAGUUUGGUCCCUAUCUGCCGUGGGCGCAGGAUAUUUGAAGGGACCUGCUCCUAGUACGAGAGGACCGGAGUGGACGAACCUCUGGUGUACCGGUUGUCACGCCAGUGGCAUCGCCGGGUAGCUAUGUUCGGAAGAGAUAACCGCUGAAAGCAUCUAAGCGGGAAACUCGCCUUGAGAUGAGAUAUCCCCGGGGCUUCGAGCCCCUUGAAGGGUCGUUCAAGACCAGGACGUUGAUAGGUCAGGUGUGGAAGCGCAGUAAUGCGUUAAGCUAACUGAUACUAAUUGCCCGUAAGGCUCG